RNAcentral lists this ribosomal RNA (397 nucleotides) under uncultured bacterium. RNAcentral describes it as "partial 16S ribosomal RNA". It matches the Rfam family "Bacterial small subunit ribosomal RNA", at positions 523 to 918 of the family's 1533-position model. The record is from RNAcentral.
AUACGUAGGGGGCGAGCGUUGUCCGGAAUGAUUGGGCGUAAAGGGCGCGUAGGCGGCCGCUUAAGUCUGGAGUGAAAGUCCUGUUUUCAAGAUGGGAAUUGCUUUGGAUACUGGGGGGCUUGAGUGCAGGAGAGGUUAUCGGAAUUCCCGGUGUAGCGGUGAAAUGCGUAGAGAUCGGGAGGAACACCAGUGGCGAAGGCGAGUAACUGGACUACAACUGGCGCUGAGGCGCGAAAGUGGGGGGUGCAAACAGGAUUAGAUACCCUGGUAGUCCACACUGUAAACGAUGAAUGCUAGGUGGAAGAGGUAUCGACCCCUUUUGUGCCGGAGUCAACACAAUAAGCAUGCCGCCUGGGGAGUACGGCCGCAAGGUUGAAGCUCAAAUGAAUUGACGGGG